GACGAACGCUGGCGGCGUGCUUAACACAUGCAAGUCGAGCGGUAAGGCCCUUUCGGGGGUACACGAGCGGCGAACGGGUGAGUAACACGUGGGUAACCUGCCCUCAGCUCUGGGAUAAGCCUGGGAAACUGGGUCUAAUACUGGAUAUGACUCCACGGUGCAUGUCGUGGGGUGGAAAGCCUUGUGCGGCUGAGGAUGGGCCCGCGGCCUAUCAGCUUGUUGGUGGGGUGAUGGCCUACCAAGGCGACGACGGGUAGCCGGCCUGAGAGGGCGACCGGCCACACUGGGACUGAGACACGGCCCAGACUCCUACGGGAGGCAGCAGUGGGGAAUCUUGCGCAAUGGGCGAAAGCCUGACGCAGCGACGCCGCGUGAGGGAUGAC
Molecule: ribosomal RNA, 383 nt
Filed under: uncultured bacterium
Lineage: Bacteria
Description: bacterial SSU rRNA
Rfam family: Bacterial small subunit ribosomal RNA
Source: RNAcentral